GUGGAUUAGAUACCCCGGUAGUCCACGCCCUAAACGAUGUCAACUAGUUGUUGGGCUUUUCGGAGCUUAGUAACGCAGCUAACGCGUGAAGUUGACCGCCUGGGGAGUACGGUCGCAAGACUAAAACUCAAAGGAAUUGACGGGGGCCCGCACAAGCGGUGGAUGAUGUGGAUUAAUUCGAUGCAACGCGAAAAACCUUACCUGGUCUUGACAUGUACGGAAUCCUUUAGAGAUAGAGGAGUGCCUUCGGGAACCGUAACACAGGUGCUGCACGGCCGUCGUCAACU
RNAcentral lists this ribosomal RNA (287 nucleotides) under uncultured bacterium. Its description in RNAcentral is "partial 16S ribosomal RNA". It matches the Rfam family "Bacterial small subunit ribosomal RNA", at positions 773 to 1060 of the family's 1533-position model. The record is from RNAcentral.